GGCUUUUUGGUGAAUGUUCCUAACAGCGGGGGAUAAGAGUCGUGAAUGCACACCGACCUAUUUGGCGUUUCUCCGUUUACUUACAGCCAAAAUCCCCCCAGACACGACAACACAAACAGGAGUUUACAAGAGUGGAAAUAAGUUGGCAAAGCAAGCAGACACACCAGGCGCCUGAAGACGGAUUUCUGCACCUAAAAAAAAGUCAUCCUCCUGUUGUAACUAUACUGAAACCUUAUUGUUAAAAAAAAGGCUAAUUAACACUUUUAUUUGCGCAUUUUAUUAAUGUGUAAAAAUGUAAGUGGGAGGGGCAUCGUCCACCAGUAUAAUAAGGAUUUAAUUCUCAUUAACAAUCCAUUACAACGAGGGCGAGCAAAUAAACAAAGCUGCUGUUGCGUCAUUCCGAGAGAGAGAGAGAGAGAGAGAGAGAGAGAGAGAGGAGGUGUGAUGGAUGAUGGAAGACAGAAAUAAAGAACGAAGGAAAGACAGGUGUUGAAAGCUUUGGCAGAUGCUGGUCAGGGAAAGAAGGCAUGCACUCCUUCCGUGGGACUAGACACCAAGAGGCUCCUACAGCCAUGGAUUCAUCUCAACAACACUUCAGCAGGACAUUGAGUGCGAUGACAGAGCUGCGCGUAAAGUCCAUCCCAUGCACGGACUGUCACCAUCUGCGCCUCAGACCGGAGGUGGCACCGCUGCUCCACUCGUCCCAUAGACCCUGAUCCUCUGAUGGAAAUACAACUACAGCCCAUCCUCUUUUUCCUCAGCUCCCCAGGGCGACGACUCAGCACUAAUUACCUGUUAUACCAAUCGGAGAGUGGGACGGCGCGAAAGAAGGAGACUGCUUUUAAGAUGGGAGGAUAUCACAUCUUCCUUCUCACGUCUGCAGUCAGACAGGACGCAUAUUUUGAGUUUCACAGAAGCCUAACUCCACAGAGCUGGAGUCAGGUGGAACAUGACACCUUUUUUUUUCUUCCUUAGUGUGUUACUGUCAUUACAGUGUGGGGGAUUUUUCCUUUCACGGUAACCUGCAGGGAUCAGUGAUAAGGGAAUGUCACCGUAUCCUUUAAAGCACGUGUUAAACUCAUGGCCCGGGGGCCAAAUCCUGCCCUGUGGAACAUCCAAGUUGGCCCCCGGGAGAAAGUAAAAAUGACUCAACAAUAUUUGUAGGGGCUCACAGUUUUCCCGGUGCUUAUAUCGCUUGAUUGCAGUCAUUUUAAUGUUAAACUGUUGAAAAAAGUAAAAAUUCUUACAAAAUUCUUCAAUUUUAAAAGUGUAAAUUUAUUUAAUCCUACAGAUUACACUACAGAUUUAGCUUUUUCAAGUACAAACAAUACAAUUAUACACCCAUAUAUUAUUAUGCAAACAAUCCACAUAUUCACAAAUAGUCUAUAGCUAAUCAGUAUUACUCAAGUCUCUCUUCAUUCCAUUAUUUAUAAGUGAUUGUAAACUGAAUUAUGUUUACCUGCAAUGUGUAUCAUAAAAUAAAGGCACAGAGACAACAUGAGUCA
RNAcentral lists this long non-coding RNA (1505 nucleotides) under Gouania willdenowi (blunt-snouted clingfish). Its description in RNAcentral is "lncRNA (ENSGWIG00000020388.1)". The record is from RNAcentral. Lineage: Eukaryota; Metazoa; Chordata; Actinopteri; Blenniiformes; Gobiesocidae.